GGACCUGUAGCUCAGUUGGUUAGAGCAACCGGCUCAUAACCGGUCGGUCCUGGGUUCGAGUCCCCGCAGGUCCACUA
This 77-nucleotide transfer RNA is filed under the name Eubacterium sp. AF34-35BH. RNAcentral's name for it is "tRNA-Met". It matches the Rfam family "tRNA". From Rfam's summary of the family: Transfer RNA (tRNA) molecules are approximately 80 nucleotides in length. Their secondary structure includes four short double-helical elements and three loops (D, anti-codon, and T loops). Lineage: Bacteria; Bacillati; Bacillota; Clostridia; Eubacteriales; Eubacteriaceae. The record is from RNAcentral.